CAACCCUCAAGCCUGGCUUGGUGAUGGGGCAGUGCCUUGGAGACAAGGCACGCCCUGAAAUUCAGUGGCGAGCUCGCCAGGACCCCGAGCGCAGUAGUUACAUCUCGCUCUGGAAGGCCCUGGCGGUGCCCUGCCGUUAAACCCCCAACUUCUGAAA
This 157-nucleotide unclassified non-coding RNA is filed under the name uncultured Diaporthaceae. RNAcentral's name for it is "sequence contains ITS2". Lineage: Eukaryota; Fungi; Ascomycota; Sordariomycetes; Diaporthales. The record is from RNAcentral.